Molecule: ribosomal RNA, 492 nt
Filed under: uncultured bacterium
Lineage: Bacteria
Description: partial 16S ribosomal RNA
Rfam family: Bacterial small subunit ribosomal RNA
Source: RNAcentral
AUUGAACGCUGGCGGCAUGCUUUACACAUGCAAGUCGAACGGUAACAGGCCUUCGGGUGCUGACGAGUGGCGAACGGGUGAGUAAUGCAUCGGAACGUACCCAGAGGUGGGGGAUAACGCAGCGAAAGCUGUGCUAAUACCGCAUGUGAUCUGAGGAUGAAAGCGGGGGACCGAGCAGCAAUGUUUGGCCUCGCGCCUUUGGAGCGGCCGAUGUCGGAUUAGCUAGUUGGUGGGGUAAAGGCCUACCAAGGCGACGAUCCGUAGCUGGUCUGAGAGGACGACCAGCCACACUGGAACGGAGACACGGCCCAGACUCCUACGGGAGGCAGCAGUGGGGAAUUUUGGACAAUGGACGCAAGCCUGAUCCAGCAAUGCCGCGUGCGGGAAGAAGGCCUUCGGGUUGUAAACCGCUUUUGGCAGGAACGAAACGGUGUCCGCUAAUACCGGGCGCUAAUGACGGUACCUGCAGAAUAAGCACCGGCUAACUACGUG